UGGGGAAUAUUGGACAAUGGGCGCAAGCCUGAUCCAGCCAUGCCGCGUGAGUGAUGAAGGCCUUAGGGUUGUAAAGCUCUUUCGCCGGUGAAGAUAAUGACGGUAACCGGAGAAGAAGCCCCGGCUAACUUCGUGCCAGCAGCCGCAGUAAUACGAAGGGGGCUAGCGUUGCUCGGAAUCACUGGGCGUAAAGCGCACGUAGGCGGAUCGUUAAGUCAGGGGUGAAAUCCUAGAGCUCAACUCCAGAACUGCCCUUGAUACUGGCGAUCUCGAGUUCGAGAGAGGUUGGUGGAACUCCGAGUGUAGAGGUGAAAUUCGUAGAUAUUCGGAAGAACACCAGUGGCGAAGGCGGCCAACUGGCUCGAUACUGACGCUGAGGUGCGAAAGCGUGGGGAGCAAAACAGGAUUAGAUACCCUGGUAGUCCACGCCGUAAAACGAUGGAUGCUAGCCGUUGGGGGGUUUACCUCUCAGUGGCGCAGCUAACGCCUUAAGCAUCCCGCCUGGGGAGUACGGUCGC
Molecule: ribosomal RNA, 518 nt
Filed under: uncultured bacterium
Lineage: Bacteria
Description: partial 16S ribosomal RNA
Rfam family: Bacterial small subunit ribosomal RNA
Source: RNAcentral